This 22-nucleotide microRNA is filed under the name Capitella teleta. RNAcentral's name for it is "Cte-Mir-184-P17_5p* (star (passenger))". Lineage: Eukaryota; Metazoa; Annelida; Polychaeta; Capitellidae. The record is from RNAcentral.
CCUUGUCACUUGUUCGUCCUGU